AGAAAGUUUCCCGCUACGUUCAUGUAACCAGAUAACGUUGGUUAAGAGACGAACCGGAAACAGAGGUUGGGGUUUGCCAUUUCUCAGGCAACAAACGAGUCAAUAACUUCAUCCUGUGACGUCAAACGUGCCUUCACCGGCAGACGAAGCUGUCCUCCUCGAAACUUCUACGUCAAACCCACGAAAGCUUGUGUCGUUCAGCUGUAGGUGCCAGUGUGGAGCUGCCGGCACAUCAUCCUUCAACCAUCCAGUUUGAACUGGUAAGAACUUGUGAUCCAUUCGCUGGUGUCACAGUUCUGCAUGGUUCGCUCCGUGAAGGUCACGUUACCGUCUGCGUCGACAAGGAUGAUUGUGUUUGUCCUGAUUGGGAAGAAGAGUCGGAACAUUUUCAUACAGUUCAAACAUCUGAUCUGAGACUGCGGUAGAUGAUGAUGAUGAUGAUGAUGAUGAUGAUGAAGACACUGACCUGGUGCCAUAGUCAGGUGAGCGGACGCACAUGGCUGACAGGGCCUGGAUCAUCGUCUUGCUGUACCAGUGACCGUGGCUCUCCUGCUCAGGGUCAGGCGUGUUCCUGUAAAAAAUGACCUGCAGGAGCUGACGUUUCAAUGGCUUUUAAUUAAUAUUAUUUUAAUUUAAAAAGUCUGUCGUCGGCUCUCUGCUACAUUAGUAAAGUCACAGAAGUGAGGGUUUUAAAUAAAGGGUUGGAAAAUGCUGCACUUUGAUUGGACAUCGCCGCCGUCUUUAGUUUAGUUGAUGGUGAUUUUUUUUUUUUUUUUUUAAUCACAGAAAACACAGACAAGGUGGCAGAGAAACUGGAGGAGCUCUCGGUAAAGGACAAGACCUCAGAAGAGAAGAAGAAGGAGGAGAAGAAAGGAGAAGAAGGCAAAGAAGUGACGGCCGAGGAGAAGAAUUGAGAACCGAAGCGCUGGCUUUGCUGAUCUUCACUUUCUCCCAGUUCCUCCUUUUUUCUACAAUAGACUGUAAAUGAACUGAA
Molecule: long non-coding RNA, 994 nt
Organism: Cynoglossus semilaevis (tongue sole)
Lineage: Eukaryota; Metazoa; Chordata; Actinopteri; Pleuronectiformes; Cynoglossidae
Exons: 2
Source: RefSeq, a predicted model, not a curated record